ACUUGAAUAGCUUAUGGUUAGAGUAUAACAUUGAAGAUGUUAGGGAGAUUAAAUAAUCUUUAAGUA
Molecule: transfer RNA, 66 nt
Filed under: Therea olegrandjeani
Lineage: Eukaryota; Metazoa; Arthropoda; Insecta; Blattodea; Corydiidae
Description: tRNA-Phe
Rfam family: tRNA
About the family: Transfer RNA (tRNA) molecules are approximately 80 nucleotides in length.
Source: RNAcentral